RNAcentral lists this ribosomal RNA (405 nucleotides) under Paracoccus yeei. RNAcentral describes it as "bacterial SSU rRNA". It matches the Rfam family "Bacterial small subunit ribosomal RNA", at positions 21 to 454 of the family's 1533-position model. Lineage: Bacteria; Pseudomonadati; Pseudomonadota; Alphaproteobacteria; Rhodobacterales; Paracoccaceae. The record is from RNAcentral.
GGCUCAGAACGAACGCUGGCGGCAGGCCUAACACAUGCAAGUCGAGCGAGAUCUUCGGGUCUAGCGGCGGACGGGUGAGUAACGCGUGGGAAUAUGCCCUUCUCUACGGAAUAGCCUUGGGAAACUGGGAGUAAUACCGUAUACGCCCUUUGGGGGAAAGAUUUAUCGGAGAAGGAUUAGCCCGCGUUGGAUUAGGUAGUUGGUGGGGUAAUGGCCUACCAAGCCGACGAUCCAUAGCUGGUUUGAGAGGAUGAUCAGCCACACUGGGACUGAGACACGGCCCAGACUCCUACGGGAGGCAGCAGUGGGGAAUCUUAGACAAUGGGGGCAACCCUGAUCUAGCCAUGCCGCGUGAGUGAUGAAGGCCUUAGGGUUGUAAAGCUCUUUCAGCUGGGAAGAUAAUGA